UAAGGCCCACAAAGCGGUGAUCUGUUUGGGUCCUGUGACAUGGCCUCCUUCGACCUGCCUAUGGUACUCGCUCACUGACACCGCGUGCUGGAAAGUGAGAAGCCCUAGGAUUAAGGAGACCCUGUGUUGAGCCAUUAAACAUUACUGAUUUGAGGUGACGUGAAGAAUUUCAUUUUAAAGUGGUGCCUCGGAGGUCUGUUCAGUGGCAAAUACGUUAAAUUAAAGUCUUACAUUACACCGUGUAAGGGGGUCUGCUACAGCUGCCACCACGGUUCUAUACGCAAGGCAGGACAUUCCUUAGGAAGCUUUGAAGCCCCCUUAUUGUAACAGCUGUGGGGGGAAUAUUACCCUUGCAGGACCGAUGCUUAUACACAGUUAAUUAUUUCCCACUGAAAAAACACGGUGUUUAGCUAGAAAUGAAUGGAUCCAUACAUGCCAAUUAAACCAAACUCAUUCUUUCAUACUUUAAACAAAAAUAAAAUUAACAAAAAAAAUGUUCGAGGGCCCUCAGUUAAACGGGGGGUAAUUACGGCUGGGGAACGUAACCUGGAAGGUGAAAGAAGUUUUUAUUUUUUAUUUUUAAAGCACAUUCUCAUUUUGCUUAAA
Spea bombifrons (plains spadefoot toad) is the source of this 606-nucleotide long non-coding RNA. RefSeq lists it as uncharacterized. Lineage: Eukaryota; Metazoa; Chordata; Amphibia; Anura; Pelobatidae. The record is from RefSeq and is a predicted model, not a curated record. The transcript has 3 exons.